RNAcentral lists this ribosomal RNA (329 nucleotides) under uncultured eukaryote. Its description in RNAcentral is "partial 18S ribosomal RNA". It matches the Rfam family "Eukaryotic small subunit ribosomal RNA", at positions 1470 to 1796 of the family's 1831-position model. The record is from RNAcentral.
CCCUUAGAUGUUCUGGGCCGCACGCGCGCUACACUGAUACAAUCAACGAGAUCUCCUAGGCCGAAAGGCUCUCGGGUAACCUUGUGAAAUUGUAUCGUGAUAGGGCUUGACGAUUGUAAUUUUUUGUCACAAACGAGGAAUUCCUAGUAAGCGCAAGUCAUCAACUUGCACUGAUUACGUCCCUGCCCUUUGUACACACCGCCCGUCGCUCCUACCGAUUGAAUGUUCAGGCGAACAAUACGGAGCUGCGACCGUUCCUGGGCAACCAGGCCGGUCAAUCAGUGAAGUCUUGUAAGCCUUGACAUUUAGAGGAAGGAAAANUCGUAACA